UCCGAGUUGACCCCGGCAGUCUCCCAUGAGUCCCCGGCAUCAUCCGCUGGCAACAUGGAACGAGGGUUGCGCUCGUUGCGGGACUUAACCCAACAUCUCACGACACGAGCUGACGACAACCAUGCAGCACCUGUGUUACGGUUCCCUUUCGGGCACACCUCCAUCUCUGGAGGCUUCCGUACAUGUCAAGGGUAGGUAAGGUUUUUCGCGUUGCAUCGAAUUAAUCCACAUAAUCCACCGCUUGUGCGGGUCCCCGUCAAUUCCUUUGAGUUUCAGCCUUGCGGCCGUACUCCCCAGGCGGAACACUUAACGCGUUGGCUUCGGCACAGGGGGAUUCGACUCCCCCCACACCUAGUGUUCAUCGUUUACGGCUAGGACUAC
Molecule: unclassified non-coding RNA, 381 nt
Filed under: uncultured bacterium
Lineage: Bacteria
Description: contains 16S-23S intergenic spacer region
Source: RNAcentral